Long non-coding RNA from Zalophus californianus (California sea lion), 2257 nucleotides. RefSeq lists it as uncharacterized. The transcript is spliced from 7 exons. The record is from RefSeq and is a predicted model, not a curated record. NCBI's taxonomy places the organism in Eukaryota, Metazoa, Chordata, Mammalia, Carnivora, Otariidae.
GGGAAUUCGUAGGUACCAGUCUCCCAGCCCCAGGAGGCGAGAGGAAAGCUGGGAGUUUGGGUCCUUCGUGGGCAGCGAGCGGAGGCAGACAGAAGAUGGAAGGAGAGAUUAAGAGCUGGAUACAGGUUUUCCACUUUCUGGAUGUUCCUUAAGAGAAUGAAAGAACUUCUUCUUAAAUGCAGGGUUCUCUCCAGUAAAUGGAGUUACCGGACAGUCCUUGAGUAGAAAUGCAGGAAAGAGCACACUUUGGGAGUUUGAAACACUGGAGUUCUAGUACUCUCUUGCACUCUUUUAAAAAGUCACUCGACAGUUUCUCCUGUCAGAAUUUCCUGCUCACUGGGAAACAAGGAUGAAAAAGAUACAAUGCUUGCCCUCAUGGAGUCUGCAUUGUAAUAUGGACACAAAACAUUUACUCAUAUAUGGGAUAAUGAGAAACCCAUGAAACUUUAUCUUCAAGAAGUUCCUGUGCCAAGAACAGUCGUGUACUGGAUGGGCAUCUUCAAACUGCACAGUGAUAAUGCUUGAAAUUUAUGGCGCUAGAAGUUUGAAGGUAGCUGCUGAACACUGUGCUUGAAGUCACCUUAGUGAAAGCUCCACGCCCAGCAUGGAGCUCAACGUGGAGCCCACCAUGGGGCUUGAAUUCAAGAUCUGAGCUGAGAUCAAGACCUGAACUGAGAUCAAGAAUCUGAUGCUUAACCAACUGAGCCACCCAGGUGCCCCCAGUAAAUGGAAUAAUUUAUCCCUAAAGAAGAACAUUUAUGGAAUCUGAUUAACCUUUGAGAGCCUACUGAUGUCCUGCAUUUUCACAAAAUUUAAAUGAGGGUUUGCAACAGUCGAUGUAGUGUACACAUUUAAUCUUAAAGUAUUUGUUGAGUAAAUACACAAAUCAGUUCAAUUCAAAUCCAUACAAAUCAGUUCAAUUCAACAAAGACUUGUUAGAUAGCUAACAAGUGCCUUCAUGGGGCCUGGAGUAUAGUUCAGCGUCUUUAACUUUCUCACUGGGAGACAGUAAGAAAUCUAUUUUAUGUUGUGGCUCAAUACACACACCCCCACCACAACUGCAACAUAAGCUUGUCUUACUAGGUGAAGUGCAUUCUGAUAUGUUCUGUUUUAUAUGUAUAUAUUCUACCUUUUUUAAGACCCACUGAAUCGAUUUUGUGACCUCUUAAUGAGUCACAAUCUGCAGUUUGGAAAAAUACUAGUUGCUACAUGAAGUUACUGAAUUUUUUUUUAGGAUUUUAUUUAUUUAUCUGAGAGAGAGCGAGCGAGCAUGAGCAGGGUGAAGGGCAGAGGGAAAAGCAGACUCCCUACUGAGCAGGGAGCCUGAUGCGGGACUCAAUCCCAGGACUCCAGGAUCAUGACCUGAGCCGAAGGCAGACACUUACCUGACUGAGCCACCCAGGUGCCCCUAAAGUUACUGAAUUUCUAAUCUCAUCUUCAUUGAGCUAAAAGUUGAAAGGGUGAGUUCAGAUGCUGAUGAUCACAAGGAGAUGUCUCCUCACUUCCUAGUGUCAUAUGCGAGUGUAUGUCGCAGGAGCCAAAUGUCCAAUAAGCAAAAAAAAAAAAAAAAAGUGAGUGAUUUCCCAGGAAAUAUCCCAGGAAACUGGGAAAUAAAUUUUUUUCCCUUGUCUGUCUUCCCACAAAAUAGAUCAUGACAGGAAUGAUGAACAACAAAUCUGUCAUCCUUGAAAACGGAAAGACUGUCCCCUACCAACAAACCUUUAAUUAAAAAGCUUAUAACUUAUGCAGUUGUUAACAUCUGAAUGAACCCCCUGAAAAUAGUAUCGAUCCAGAAAAUGCUGGUUCUGGAGAAGGUCUCUGAUUGAUGUUAAUGACUCAUAGUCGUAGAGUUUUGACUCUACCCCACCAAGAGCUGACCAUUCCUGCCUUUCCCUUUCACAUCUAUCAUUUCUCUCAUAGCACCUGUGAAAUCCUCUUCCUUCUACAUUAUUGGCUUACAAAUCUGUCUCUGUCCCAUAUUAUAAACUGUUGGUGGACAAACAAUGGUUUCUUCUCCAUCUUUAUAUUCUCGGAGUGGGACACUAAGUGCUUUGUAUAUGUUUGUGGAAUCAUUGAAUGAUGCUAGUUCAGAUUGGUUGUAAAGGUAUCAAUAGGAAAAAAUACAGAUUAGUUAAUUUACUGAAGAAAAAUAAGCUGCAAAAAGAGAGUUGAAAUUCUAACUGAUCCUAACUUGGAUAAGGUCAGAAUGAGGUCAUGGUACAAGUAUUCUUUUUUUGAAAGAUUUAUUUAUUUAAGA